RNAcentral lists this ribosomal RNA (253 nucleotides) under uncultured bacterium. RNAcentral's name for it is "partial 16S ribosomal RNA". It matches the Rfam family "Bacterial small subunit ribosomal RNA", at positions 524 to 776 of the family's 1533-position model. The record is from RNAcentral.
UACAGAGGUGACAAACGUUGUCCGGAAUUAUUGGGCGUAAAGGGCGCGUAGGUGGUUGAGUAAGUCAGGUGUGAAAGCCCUGGGCUUAACCCAGGAAUUGCAUCUGAUACUGCUCGGCUUGAGUACGGUAGAGGAGGGUGGAAUUCCCAGUGUAGCGGUGAAAUGCGUAGAUAUUGGGAGGAACACCGGUGGCGAAGGCGGCCCUCUGGACCGAAACUGACACUGAAGCGCGAAAGCUAGGGGAGCAAACGGG